GCUGUUAUUAGGGAAUUGUCAUUAAGUACCUACAGAACAACCAUUAUUUCUAGUUUAUCCUGCACAAUGACGAUCACUAAGACGCUUGAUGAACGUAAAUAGUGGAGGGAUACAGGCGACCCCCUCUAUCUGGUAAAUGACGUCAUAAAGGCGCGUAUAAUUGACGAGUUUUUUCCGGUGACGGAUGAACUCGAAAGUGGUCUAUUGAAUAGAAACGACGACUGGAAAAAAUUCCAAAAACGUGAUGUCCCUCAAAAUACCGUUCUGACUCCACUCUCGAGGCCAACAAGCUUGCGACCAUUUGCAAUCAAAAUAAAUCCAGAACCCCCUAUUUGAACCUCCGGCGCUAUCAGUGUAUAGCUGGAUUGUCUCAUUUGAUGUCCAAAGCAAGUCUAGCAUGACAGAAACACCGUUAUACUAAUUUAAAAAGGAUGACCAAAUUUGCAAAUCAUCUUUCAUCUCAGACGAGACGCGAAUUCUAUGCCAAGCUUCCUUUACGUUGCAAGUUGCAUCAAUUAACCGACGGCAAAA
This 531-nucleotide long non-coding RNA is filed under the name Mytilus galloprovincialis (Mediterranean mussel). Lineage: Eukaryota; Metazoa; Mollusca; Bivalvia; Mytilida; Mytilidae. The record is from RNAcentral.